AAUGCGUAUGACAUGGGUAUUAAUAGCGAAUUUCGUCAUUACAGAUUCGCGUCGGCUACCGCCACUUUCAACAUCUUGGCUUGGCUCUAAAGUAGAUCACUUCGUAUUGAGAUACGGGUAAAUCAACUCCCUUCGACUCACAUAAGCUAACGGAAAAAAUCUGAAGGGAAUAUUUAAAGAUGUUCUCUAAGCCGGGAAAGAGGGACUCCACGCCUAAGGAAUUCAAGAAUGUCCAAGAAAACCGCAUGCUGGUACGUCCAGUCUCAGCUCUACAGACGACGAACUUGAGGUCCAACUCUUCU
This is a non-coding RNA of Pocillopora verrucosa, 302 nucleotides long. The record is from RefSeq and is a predicted model, not a curated record. NCBI's taxonomy places the organism in Eukaryota, Metazoa, Cnidaria, Anthozoa, Scleractinia, Pocilloporidae.